GAAAUGCGAUAAGUAAUGUGAAUUGCAGAAUUCCGUGAAUCAUCGAAUCUUUGAACGCACAUUGCGCCCUCUGGUAUUCCGGGGGGCAUGCCUGUCCGAGCGUCAUUGCAAACCCUCAAGCCCGGCUUGUGUGAUGGGUCGCAGCGUCCCCGACUCUCUAGGGGACGGGCCCGAAAGGCAGUGGCAGCGUCGCGGUCAUCCGAUCAGCCCAAGCGUAUGGGGACUCACGUCACACGCUCGCGGCGCGGACCGACGCUCGCCCGAUCCAUAUAUCGUAACAAGGUUUGACCUCGGAUCAGGUAGGGAUACCCGCUGAACUUAA
RNAcentral lists this unclassified non-coding RNA (322 nucleotides) under uncultured Onygenales. Its description in RNAcentral is "sequence contains ITS1". The stretch from base 1 to 105 matches the Rfam family "5.8S ribosomal RNA", at positions 50 to 154 of the family's 154-position model. Lineage: Eukaryota; Fungi; Ascomycota; Eurotiomycetes; Onygenales. The record is from RNAcentral.